This 140-nucleotide unclassified non-coding RNA is filed under the name uncultured Tremella. RNAcentral describes it as "sequence contains ITS2". The record is from RNAcentral. Lineage: Eukaryota; Fungi; Basidiomycota; Tremellomycetes; Tremellales; Tremellaceae.
AGACUCAAUCCUCGGGGUUUCCUGGGAUUGGACUUGGGCGUUGCCUCUGGCUCGCCUUAAAUGCCUUAGCUGUGGAAUGUCAGUGGACGUAAUAAGUUUCGUCCCCGAAGCAUGACAUGGCUCAUAACCCCAUCUUUUGA